GACGAACGCUGGCGGCGUGCUUAACACAUGCAAGUCGAACGGUAAGGCCCUUCGGGGUACACGAGUGGCGAACGGGUGAGUAACACGUGGGUGAUCUGCCCUGCACUUCGGGAUAAGCCUGGGAAACUGGGUCUAAUACCGGAUAGGACCACUGCCUGCAUGGGUGGUGGUGGAAAGCUGUUGCGGUGUGGGAUGGGCCCGCGGGCUAUCAGCUGGUUGGUGGGGUGAUGGCCUACCAAGGCGACGACGGGUAGCCGGCCUGAGAGGGUGACCGGCCACACUGGGACUGAGAUACGGCCCAGACUCCUACGGGAGGCAGCAGUGGGGAAUAUUGCACAAUGGGCGCAAGCCUGAUGCAGCGACGCCGCGUGAGGGAUGACGGCCUUCGGGUUGUAAACCUCUUUCAGCACCGACGAAGCGCAAGUGACGGUAGGUGCAGAAGAAGGACCGGCCAACUACGUGCCAGCCGCCGCCGUAA
This 478-nucleotide ribosomal RNA is filed under the name uncultured bacterium. RNAcentral describes it as "partial 16S ribosomal RNA". It matches the Rfam family "Bacterial small subunit ribosomal RNA", at positions 28 to 523 of the family's 1533-position model. The record is from RNAcentral.